ACGAACGCUGGCGGCGUGCUUCACCCCUGCAGGUCGAACGGAAAGGCCCUGCUUUUGUGGGGUGCUCGAGUGGCGAACGGGUGAGUAACACGUGAGUAACCUGCCCUUGACUUUGGGAUAACUUCAGGAAACUGGGGCUAAUACCGGAUAGGAGCUCCUGCUGCAUGGUGGGGGUUGGAAAGGUUCGGCGGUUGGGGAUGGACUCGCGGCUUAUCAGCUUGUUGGUGGGGUAGUGGCUUACCAAGGCUUUGACGGGUAGCCGGCCUGAGAGGGUGACCGGCCACAUUGGGACUGAGAUACGGCCCAGACUCCUACGGGAGGCAGCAGUGGGGAAUAUUGCACAAUGGGCGGAAGCCUGAUGCAGCAACGCCGCGUGCGGGAUGACGGCCUUCGGGUUGUAAACCGCUUUCGCCUGUGACGAAGCGUGAGUGACGGUAAUGGGUAAAGAAGCACCGGCUAACUACGUG
This 467-nucleotide ribosomal RNA is filed under the name uncultured bacterium. RNAcentral describes it as "partial 16S ribosomal RNA". It matches the Rfam family "Bacterial small subunit ribosomal RNA", at positions 29 to 507 of the family's 1533-position model. The record is from RNAcentral.